RNAcentral lists this ribosomal RNA (466 nucleotides) under Vreelandella stevensii. RNAcentral's name for it is "partial 16S ribosomal RNA". It matches the Rfam family "Bacterial small subunit ribosomal RNA", at positions 338 to 795 of the family's 1533-position model. Lineage: Bacteria; Pseudomonadati; Pseudomonadota; Gammaproteobacteria; Oceanospirillales; Halomonadaceae. The record is from RNAcentral.
CCUACGGGGUGCAGCAGUGGGGAAUAUUGGACAAUGGGCGAAAGCCUGAUCCAGCCAUGCCGCGUGUGUGAAGAAGGCCUUCGGGUUGUAAAGCACUUUCAGUGGGGAAGAAAGCCUUGGGGCUAAUACCCUCGAGGAAGGACAUCACCCACAGAAGAAGCACCGGCUAACUCCGUGCCAGCAGCCGCGGUAAUACGGAGGGUGCGAGCGUUAAUCGGAAUUACUGGGCGUAAAGCGCGCGUAGGCGGUCUGAUAAGCCGGUUGUGAAAGCCCCGGGCUCAACCUGGGAACGGCAUCCGGAACUGUCAGGCUAGAGUGCAGGAGAGGAAGGUAGAAUUCCCGGUGUAGCGGUGAAAUGCGUAGAGAUCGGGAGGAAUACCAGUGGCGAAGGCGGCCUUCUGGACUGACACUGACGCUGAGGUGCGAAAGCGUGGGUAGCAAACAGGAUUAGAAUACCCCGGUAGUC